CCUACGGGGGGCUGCAGUGGGGAAUAUUGCACAAUGGGCGCAAGCCUGAUGCAGCCAUGCCGCGUGUGUGAAGAAGGCCUUCGGGUUGUAAAGCACUUUCAGCGGGGAGGAAGGCGUUAAGGUUAAUAACCUUGGCGAUUGACGUUACCCGCAGAAGAAGCACCGGCUAACUCCGUGCCAGCAGCCGCGGUAAUACGGAGGGUGCAAGCGUUAAUCGGAAUUACUGGGCGUAAAGCGCACGCAGGCGGUCUGUCAAGUCGGAUGCGAAAUCCCCGGGCUCAACCUGGGAACUGCAUUCGAAACUGGCAGGCUAGAGUCUUGUAGAGGGGGGUAGCAUUCCAGGUGUAGCGGUGAAAUGCGUAGAGAUCUGGAGGAAUACCGGUGGCGAAGGCGGCCCCCUGGACAAAGACUGACGCUCAGGUGCGAAAGCGUGGGGAGCAAACAGGAUUGGAUACCCCGGUAGUC
This 465-nucleotide ribosomal RNA is filed under the name uncultured Klebsiella sp. Its description in RNAcentral is "bacterial SSU rRNA". It matches the Rfam family "Bacterial small subunit ribosomal RNA", at positions 338 to 795 of the family's 1533-position model. The record is from RNAcentral. Lineage: Bacteria; Pseudomonadati; Pseudomonadota; Gammaproteobacteria; Enterobacterales; Enterobacteriaceae.